UAGAAGCAAAGUAGACGGGCUCCAGAAUG
This 29-nucleotide non-coding RNA is filed under the name Rattus norvegicus (Norway rat). Lineage: Eukaryota; Metazoa; Chordata; Mammalia; Rodentia; Muridae. The record is from RNAcentral.